This 695-nucleotide ribosomal RNA is filed under the name Diaporthe sp. B40-119. RNAcentral describes it as "eukaryotic LSU rRNA". The stretch from base 187 to 340 matches the Rfam family "5.8S ribosomal RNA". The record is from RNAcentral. Lineage: Eukaryota; Fungi; Ascomycota; Sordariomycetes; Diaporthales; Diaporthaceae.
UAAGUGAUCAUCACUCAGGAGGAGCUCCGUCGGACCCACCAAGCCCUUUGUGAACUCAUACCUAUUGUUGCCUCGGCGAAGGCCGGCCUCUUCUGAGGCCCCCCGGAGACGGGGAGCAGCCCGCCGGCGGCCAACCAAACUCUUGUUUCUUAGUGAAUCUCUGAGUAAAAAACAUAAAUGAAUCAAAACUUUCAACAACGGAUCUCUUGGUUCUGGCAUCGAUGAAGAACGCAGCGAAAUGCGAUAAGUAAUGUGAAUUGCAGAAUUCAGUGAAUCAUCGAAUCUUUGAACGCACAUUGCGCCCUCUGGUAUUCCGGAGGGCAUGCCUGUUCGAGCGUCAUUUCAACCCUCAAGCCUGGCUUGGUGUUGGGGCACUGCUUUGUCUCCAAAGCAGGCCCUGAAAUCUAGUGGCGAGCUCGCUAGGACCCCGAGCGUAGUAGUUAUAUCUCGUUCUGGAAGGCCCUGGCGGUGCCCUGCCGUUAAACCCCCAACUUCUGAAAUUUUGACCUCGGAUCAGGUAGGAAUACCCGCUGAACUUAAGCAUAUCAUUAAAGCGAGAGGAAAGGGGAACCCCUCGGCCCACAACCUUUGGAAAAAAAAAAGGGGCUCGAAAGGGGCUUGGGCCGAAAAGGAAGCCGGGACAACUGUUUUAAUUUAAAACAUAGGAGAAAUCCAGAACUGGCUUGCCAAAACAA